This 377-nucleotide unclassified non-coding RNA is filed under the name plant metagenome. RNAcentral's name for it is "partial contains 5.8S ribosomal RNA, internal transcribed spacer 2, and large subunit ribosomal RNA". The stretch from base 1 to 104 matches the Rfam family "5.8S ribosomal RNA", at positions 50 to 154 of the family's 154-position model. The record is from RNAcentral.
GAAAUGCGAUAAGUAAUGUGAAUUGCAGAAUUCAGUGAAUCAUCGAAUCUUUGAACGCACCUUGCGCUCCUUGGUAUUCCUGGAGCAUGCCUGUUUGAGUAUCAUGAAAUCUUCAAAGUAAAUCUUUUGUUAACUCAAUUGGUUUCUACUUUGGUAUUGGAGGUCUUUGCAGCUUCACACCUGCUCCUCUUUGUUCAUUAGCUGGAUCUCAGUGUUAUGCUUGGUUCCACUCGGCGUGAUAAGUUAUCUAUCGCUGAGGACACUGUAAAAGGUGGCCAAGGUAAAUGCAGAUGAACCGCUUCUAAUAGUCCAUUGACUUGGACAAUACUUUUAUGAUCUGAUCUCAAAUCAGGUAGGACUACCCGCUGAACUUAAGC